This 74-nucleotide transfer RNA is filed under the name Clostridiales bacterium. Its description in RNAcentral is "tRNA-Gln". It matches the Rfam family "tRNA". From Rfam's summary of the family: Transfer RNA (tRNA) molecules are approximately 80 nucleotides in length. The record is from RNAcentral. RNAcentral also lists the same sequence under 1 other name. Lineage: Bacteria; Bacillati; Bacillota; Clostridia; Eubacteriales.
AGGGGAAUAGUGUAACGGCAGCACAUACGGCUCUGACCCGUCUAGUCUAGGUUCGAAUCCUGGUUCCCCUGCCA